Molecule: long non-coding RNA, 2952 nt
Organism: Sapajus apella (tufted capuchin)
Lineage: Eukaryota; Metazoa; Chordata; Mammalia; Primates; Cebidae
Exons: 3
Source: RefSeq, a predicted model, not a curated record
AAAGGCAUUUCCUACAUGGCAACAGGUGGGGGGGGGAGAGAGAGGGAGAGAGAGAAGGAAAGCCAACUGAAAGGGCUCUCCCCUUGUAAAAUCAUAAGACUGUGUGAGACUUACUACCAUGAGAACGGUAUGGGGGAAAUUGCCCCCAUGAUUCAAUUAUCUCCCACCGGGUCCCUCCUACAACAUGUGGGAAUUAUGGGAGCUACAAAUCAAGAUGAGAUUUGGGUGGGGACACAGCCAAACUAUAUUUGUAUGUGUCUUGGGAAUUUUGGUAUUCCUCAGGAAAUCUUGAGCCUUGCACACCUAAUUGAUAAUUAAAAGUUGCUAUAAUGUGCAAAUUUAGUUCCAAGAUUUCAUUAUGUUUCUGCUGUUCUAAUUUUUUGAGUGUGAAGGUCUUGUGCUGAAACAGUAAUAAAAAUUAUUUCAAUAGUCAUCAUCAUAACAAUGGCCAUUUAUUGUGUCUAAGAUGUACCAGGCAGCAUUUUAGGUGCUCUAUAUUUGGAUUCUUUAUUACCUCUCUCUAAACCCAAUGAGGUAGAUAUAAUUACAGAAAAUGAAAGAGAAGCUCUGAGACUGUACAUAACUUCCUCAAAGUCACACACAAAAAGGUGGCAGAGACACAAUACAUUUUUACAUCUCUCUAACCUCAAAUCCCAUAUCAUUUCUAUUGAUAAUUGUUAAUAAGGUUUCAGAAACCUAUUAUUUUUUAUUAUCAAAAUAAAAUAGAAAAUGCUAAAAAGCAGCAGCGGUAGCAACAGUAAAAUAGAAAGUAAGUUUUUAUUUGAAAACUUUUGAGAUUGCCUCCUUCCCCUUAAAAAUGUAAGGUUUUUUUCAAACUUUUAGUGGAUUAUCUGAUAUUUGCAUAAUAUUCUUCCUGUCAUACUCUUGUUCUUUCAGUUGAUCCCAACUAACUGGUUAAAAAUGAGCUUCUGCUUGCUGCUUUCUAAAGAAGAAUGGCUUAGAAUGGAUUCCUUUCUGUGCUUUGGAGAAACUUGUUACUGAGUUGCCCUUGAACUAAAAUACUGCAUGAAAGACACCACACUUCACUAAUACAAUUUCCCAAGAAUCAGCUCACCAAGAAGGCUUUAUCUUUUACAAAGUUUGCCCCAAGUUCUCAAAAAGGGCCAUGACUACUAAAAGAGGCUGAAACGUGGACCUGUGCCUUUGCCCUUACUGAAGCUCUCAUCAUGUGAAUGAGUAGAUCUCCCAGAAGAUCGCUGAAUAAUCUCAUAGAUAAGAGUGGACUACCCAUCCCCAACUGCCUGCCUACCUCUAUCACUAUUUGGAUAGGGUAAGGUUUUGAGUGUAGAUAACCGGAGAACGGUGAUACCACAGAGGAGGUAGUAUAAAAUUAUAUACAAAGAAAACCAGUUUUAUAUAUGAGGUGAUAGCAGUGCAUCUAUUAGGAAAUAUCCAUCUAGCAGAAAUGCAAAAUUAAAGCUCUGGGGAGCUUCAGGUUGGAGAUAUACACACAUGAGGCAUCUGAAAGAAAAGCUGAAACCAUGGGGAAAAGUAUAACAGAGAGGUAAAUGGAAAACAGGAAAACAGUGCUUUUGAAGGUCAAGGGAAGAGUUUUGACAAAAUAGGGGUCACUCAACAUGGGAAUAGGUGAGAGGAAAGGUAACUAUAGAAAGAGAUUAAACUUGAUUCUUAAGUUCAUGUUCUCUUUAUCUGUGUGUCCUCACAUCUAGCUUUACUUAAAAUCUUUUUUCCCCUAAAAUCUGAUCUUUUUUAUUUCUCUGUGUUGCCAAGACACUCAUCACAUCCUGCCUUGAUUUACACAAACUCCUUCUCACUGGCCUCUUUCUCAUCAGUUUCCUACUCCAGUCUUUGCCAAAUGUUACUGCCAAGUCCAUUUUCCUUUCCUGCUGUUCAGACUAUGUUUCUCCCACUCUGCUUUGGCUUCUCUUCACCUUCCAGCCUCCCCACAACUCUGCACCUGCUUACAACUCUUCCUCAUCCUUCCUACAGCCCCAUCCCACACCCCGCCUCCACUCCUUCCUCUGGACCUCUCAUCUCCUCUGGCAUCUUUAACCACCAAAUUGAGGCACUCCAAGCUUCAGGCCAACACCCUACAUUAUCCCUCCCAGCAGAUCUCCCAACUCAUGCACAUCAACACAGCUCCUAUUUCUGCUGCAAAGAAACCCAGUGUAUCUACUUCCUGUAUGAUGCUUGCUAGCUCAAAUAACAGUAUGCUGUGUGCUGCAUUCUCCCAGGGUAUGCAAAGCAGUAUUGCUUGGACUGUAUUCUUUCCUGUCCCCAUUACCUCUAGGGCCUUGUAUUGUUUGUUCUGGAACAACAUGAUUUCAUUACUGUCGGAUAAUUUGUUUCUUGUAAAGUACUUACUGGUGUUACCUUGGGGUGCUACAUAACAAUACAAAUCUCACAAUGCCUCGCUGAUGAGAGGGCCUAAACCCAACCAGUUUGUCCAAAAGUACCUUGAGUUUUUUUCUCAGUAGUUCAUGGGGAAAAAAAACCCCGUAUCUGUCAGGAAAAGGGAGAAAAUUAAUGUGCAGAAAGGAAGGUAUGAUGUUUCUAUUGUUCUCAACAAAUAACGUUCAUGGGAAAAAAAAACCCAUAUAUUUGAGUGAACCAGAAAUUCAAUGAGCAUUAUAGAUAAAAUAAUGUAAAAACUCCUUUCUAGGUAUGGAAGAUAUGUCUUCAAGGACAUAUCUUACUGUUAUCACAGAAAGCAAUUAUUUGCCUUGCUACCUCCAAAACUUUGCUCAUGCCAGUUUCAUUUAGCAUAUAUAUAAUAUAAUUCAUUUUAGAGAAAAUACUCACUAUAAAACUCAAAUAACUAAGAUGUAUAAGUAUAUAGGCAAGUAUGGAGAAAAAAACAUAUAUAUACAUCUCUAAGAGCAUGAUUAAAAUAAUUGUUGCUUAAUGCUAAAUUUUCUUCUCAACAAGAAAAAAAUUUGAAUACUUAUCAUUAAUUUAAAUGUACUUGGU